UGGGGGAUUUUGCACAAUGGGCGCAAGCCUGAUGCAGCGACGCCGCGUGAGGGAUGAAGGCCUUCGGGUUGUAAACCUCUUUCGCUGGGUUGAAAGGCCAUGCUUUGGGUGUGGUUGAUUUGAACUGGUAAAGAAGUACCGGCUAACUACGUGCCAGCAGCCGCGGUAAUACGUAGGGUACUAGCGUUGUCCGGAUUUAUUGGGCGUAAAGGGCUUGUAGGUGGUUUGUAGCGUCUGUCGUGAAAUCCUGUGGCUUAACCAUGGGCUUGCGGUGGGUACGGGCAGGCUUGAGGGCGGUAGGGGAGACUGGAAUUCCUGGUGUAGCGGUGGAAUGCGCAGAUAUCAGGAGGAACACCGGUGGCGAAGGCGGGUCUCUGGGCCGUUACUGACACUGAGGAGCGAAAGCGUGGGGAGCGAACAGG
This 422-nucleotide ribosomal RNA is filed under the name Fusobacteriota bacterium. RNAcentral describes it as "Fusobacteria bacterium partial 16S ribosomal RNA". It matches the Rfam family "Bacterial small subunit ribosomal RNA", at positions 355 to 776 of the family's 1533-position model. Lineage: Bacteria; Fusobacteriati; Fusobacteriota. The record is from RNAcentral.